This 2711-nucleotide long non-coding RNA is filed under the name Mus musculus (house mouse). RNAcentral describes it as "RNA imprinted and accumulated in nucleus". The record is from RNAcentral. Lineage: Eukaryota; Metazoa; Chordata; Mammalia; Rodentia; Muridae.
AUUCCCAGCUAGGGUUUUACUUUUCUAAUGAAAUUAGCCUGUGGAUCUUUAAAAAGUAUGAAUAAAAAAAGAGGACAAAAUGGUCAAUUAUUACAAAGGAGUAUAAUGAGACAAAGGUUGUUGUUAAAUCUACUCAACAGUUGGGGCUUAAGAACCAUUUUGUUUAGGGGUACAUGGUCAUUAAGUGUUUGUCCUAUGUUGGUAACUGGUCUCCCAUAGUUGUUCCUAGUUCACUUCAACCCCACGAUCCUAAGCACACCUGUACCUGCCCUGGAAUCCCUCAGCCAUGUUUGUCCCACAGAGCAUCACUAUCAAACAGUUCACUGUGGACUCCUCGUAGCAGAAGUACAGUAGGGGACAGCAAGUGUCAGCUCCAUCAGGACCCCUGAUUUAAUUAUUUACUGUGGAACCAUUGUCCUGAGUCAGGAGGAUAGAUGAGGAAAGAAUGAGAGCGUGGCUGGCAUCGCUUCAUGAUUACAUUCUGGGAAAGAUCUUGCCUGUUAACCUCUAGAGAAGGAGGGACGAUACAGACAAUGAAGACUAUAGCAGACUGAAUUACUCUCUGAGAUGAGGACUUUGCUAUUGCCAUUGCAGGUAAGAUGUUUUAUGACUCCAUAAUCAGCAAAGAAUCCUGUCAGUAAGGUCUGAUUUCUUCGCAGUGUUCAUUGGAUCUUUUAAGUCUACAAACCAAUGAUACAAAUGCAAUAUGAAACAAUUGCUAGGAAGCUAAUUGGCAUAUUUUACUCACAGCCCAUUUUAUUUUCGCACAGCAGUGUACUUAAGUUUUCUACUUAAUAAUCUCAGUCUGCAUGUCCAAUAUGGCUGCCACCAUACACACAUGGCUGCUUAUAUAUAAAGUAAUUACUGUGAAGUGAAUUGUAAAAUUCAAUUUCUCUGUUGCAGUGCUCACACUGCAAGUUCUCAGUAGCUACCUGAGCCUUUGGGGCACUGUGUUAGGAUCAGGUUUCUAUUAUUCUGCAAAGAGCUAUUGGACAGCUCUUCACAGAGAAGGCUGCACACAGGAAGAGGGAAGAGAGACAGAUGUGACUGCUUUGAGGCAGGCAUGCGAAUUGAUCCAUCCAUGGUUCACUGAAGGCCCCUGGAAAGAGAAUCAGGAAGAGAACUCAGCAAUGAGAAAAGAAAGAAACUGUAAGGAGACCCCAGUCCCAAGCACAAGUUCUUCUCACUUCAUGAAUAUUUAUCCUAUUGCCCCCAGGGAGGCUAUGAAUGGGUCAAUAAACAAAACUGUCCCUGAAAGAAAAAGACAGAGGUCAAAGGUGGCUCAUGUGGAUCACUGAUGAGUACCCUGGGGUGUCUGAAUGGAGGGCUUUGACUAAGCCCUGUCACUCAGGAGGUCCAUCGUGAAAAAUCCCAUUUAUUAUCUCUUUCGGAUAUGAGCUUAGUCUGGCUAUCUAAAAUAACAUGGGCUGUAUUCUUGGGCUUCUGUGCACUAAAGCAGUGUAUGAAUCAACCAAGAACCCUAUAAAUGAACACUAACAAAAUGGGUCAUUGCUCUUUCAAAUAUGUGGGUAGUACAAUAAGAAUCUUUACUAAUGUAUUUAUGAAGCUUGACAUUCUAGCAAUGUAUUGAUCAAGGCUGAUGCCAUGGGGCAAGGAACAUUUGGAUAGAUGUUUGUUCUUUUGACAUAUUGUGUGUUUUUUAAAGGGAAGAGCAAAAUAUUUAUUUAAGAUGAUUAUUAACUAAAUAAAAUCUGAGUAGAAGAGGGCUUAUACAUGAAUCUAGGCUGACAGCUCGCCCCAGAUGAACAAUUAGGGUUUCUGUUCUACUUUCCACUGUAUUUCAAUUCUGUCCCUCACUUUAAUUUAAAUAGUUAGAGACAUGUGUUAAUCCUUCCAUGACUGAACAUACAAUGUAAUCUGGAAUUAAUCUAUUGUUCCAUUUUUGUGGAAUCACAGUUGUAAUGGCAUUAUCAUAUAUAGAAAAAGGACAUUACUAUCUCAAUUAAUCAAGCUAAGCUGCAGGACCUUUUAUUAUGAGAGAAGUAGAUAGUUACAGUACCAACGAAAUUAGAGAAACCUAAUAAGUGGAGCACCUCACAUUUUUCCUAUUUUUUUUCUAUUAUUUAUUUAGACAUAAUACAAUAUUAUAAAGUUUUUGUUUUGUUCCUUGAAGUUGCAGGGUCAAAGAGUUACAUAUGCAACCACAUAUAUAUUAUAUGCAUAUGUAUGCAUAGGCUCCUGUAGAGACACCUUGCCUAGGUCCAGUCAGAAUAUUUCACUCUUGACAGACCCAUGAACCAGUCUUGGUGUUCAUGUUUGUAUCUAGUUUGCAGUUAUUGGAAAGUUACUACUUAUUGUAAUCUCAGUGGCUUUGCCAGCAAGCUUAUUCCUUAGUCCCAUCAAUUUUUGUUGAGUUAUAAUAAUCUGAGUACUUUUGGCUAUAAAAAUAUGAGUUUAGACUUGAGCUUCCUAUCUGACCAUCUGUACAAUGAAAUAGUAAUUUUCAUUUUGUUACUGCUUUGUCCUCAGAAUGCAUGCACCAGUCCCCAUUGUUCUCAGGUUAGGAAGGAAUGGAUGUUUAUCGUCCUGAGUCUUCUUUGCUCAUAACCACUGGCUUCCCAAUUCACUGUCGGUCUCUGUUCUAAUAUCAGAGGGGAAAAAAAAGAAGACAUUCUUAAUUUCUCAAACUUGAUUAGAAAAAUGUUGCAAAAACCUCAUCACACGCUCAAAUCAGACCCCAAACACAUAAA